ACACUCUCCCGCUCGGCUCCAACUUGCAGGCAUCCAUGGCCGGCCGUCCUCCGAGGGCGGCGGGACAAGCGAGGGCGGCGGGUCGAGUGGCGCGGGCUCAGUUUACACCUGUCGCUCCCUCCGUGGAGCCCACUCUGCCCUUCGGACCAGGCAAUGGUGAGCCAUUGAAGGUUUCUGAACAGAGAAGUGCUUAUUGGGAGCUGUCGGAGCUGUGCUUCCAGGAGAUGAAUCUGGCAAUAACAUGGAGAUCCCUGCAGAGCCUCCCUAUUGCCACGGUUGCCACUGCUCUUCAAGACGAUAGAUCAGCUGAAGGCAGCUGCCCCCACCCCCCGGUCCAAUGAUCUACUAUGUCAAAGUGGUACCCCAGUGGCUAACAGGAAGAAGGGAUUCCAGAAGGAAAAUUAGCCAGCACCCCAUUUCUGGUCAGAAGGCCCUCAGCACGUUCCUGUGAAUAAUCAUAUCCCAAAUCCUAAGGAAUUCUGGAUGGACUUGCAGGUGCAUUCUUGGUUUGCGGCGGGAGUGCCUAAAACUCAACUGGAACUGAGAAGAGGGUUUUGGUGAGGAUCCGUGUGGCCCAGGGAGCUUAGACAGAGAGAUGGGACGGGGCUGGGUGGAGCUCUAGCCUGGAGCACAUCUAUUGCAGAAAGAGGUGACAGGGAAAAGACUUAGAGAAAAAAAGACCCUCAACCUCCCACCCGUACUCUCUCUCCUUCGAUGGUGCCUUUAGAUCCAGGGUGGAGGGGGCACUGUGGCCACGAUAAUUAUCAGGAUGGACUACUUGUUGAGAGGAACCUGAUAUUUUUUGAGAGCCAUACGGAAGCCCCCAGAAUGGAACUUAUUGUAAGGGAGGACCAGUGCUCUUGAGUCAGCCCAAGCCCUGCUGAGAAAGUGCCUGGUAGACAUGCUGGAAGUGGAGGUGAAGCCAAGCACCCUUCUCCAGGGCGCUGAUCUUUUUAGGAUCUGAUGAAAGCUGUGUCCCUCUGCCCUGCAAACGGCACACAUGCACAAGGUCAGUGUUUACAUGGCAACCUGCAGGAGCCCAGCUGCGGCCCUGAGUUAGCAGUCCCUGCUGAGAAAGGGUAUUUCAGGCAGGAGGCAACCCUGAACCCAAAGUCCCUGUGAUCCAGGCUAAUGAGGGGUGUUCGUGACAUGAAGGAUCCAGAAUGAGACACAUCUGAAGCAGAGUUCUGAAACGUAAAGUGAAAAAAAAGAACAAGCCUGAUACACACUUCAUUGCAGGUCAGGUCUGUGAAAAAUCCCCACCUAGAAAGAGAAAAAUUCAGAGGCAACAUAGAGAAAGGAAAACAAUUUGUGGGUAAAGGGUUUUUAUUUUGAAAUUUUGCUUUGAUAUCAUGAAGUUACUUUAAUGAUACGAUUUAAUGAUUUAACUUUUUCUAUAUUAUGUAAAGUGCUUUUCUUCCAAAAAAUAAGCCUAUGAAUUGAAUUUGAUUUAGGUUAAUAUCAAUGCCCUGUGUGCUUUGAGCACAUGCUUCUGGGGAAAGAUGCUCCAGGAUGGAGCCAGGUGGCCUGGAGAGGACGUCCAAAGGGUGGGUCACUGACUUUUGAGGAUCCUCAGGAGGCAGUCGAGCAGGUGGCGGGCAUGUGGUUGGAGUCCAGAGUCCUAGCUUUGUGUCCUGGGCAAGAAGGGUGACCAGUUGUCCCAUUUUGCCUGGGCCUGAGCAAGGGUUCCUGGGACAUGGAUCUUUCUGUCUUAAAACCAGGAGAACGUUCUGGGCAAGCCAGAGGGAGCUAGUUAAUCCUAUGUAUAUAUUAACCUCUCUCUGCUUCAGUUUCCUCAUUUGUAAAAGGAUGCUGCUGACUUUCAGAACCUUUGUAAAAGCACUCUGGGGACUCCACCAUCUUCACGCCGGAUGAGGAUGAUGGUUAUUACUGGUGGUGUGGAACUGGGGCCAGGAGUGGGGGAACCUUGAGAUCAAAGAGACCAGGGGCCUCUUCGAAGCACCCUGUGAUGUAUAUUAGAGAGCUUGAGCCAGCCACUCUCUCUCAAGAGACUUGUAACGACAAUUCAUUCAACAAAUAUUGAUGCACCACCUAUGACCAAGUACCAUGCUAGGCAUUGGAAUAAAGCCAUGUACUACUG
Molecule: long non-coding RNA, 2101 nt
Filed under: Sus scrofa (pig)
Lineage: Eukaryota; Metazoa; Chordata; Mammalia; Artiodactyla; Suidae
Description: lncRNA (ENSSSCG00065012877.1)
Source: RNAcentral